RNAcentral lists this ribosomal RNA (442 nucleotides) under uncultured bacterium. Its description in RNAcentral is "partial 16S ribosomal RNA". It matches the Rfam family "Bacterial small subunit ribosomal RNA", at positions 338 to 795 of the family's 1533-position model. The record is from RNAcentral.
CCUACGGGUGGCUGCAGUGGGGAAUAUUGGGCAAUGGAGGAAACUCUGACCCAGCAACGCCGCGUGAAUGAUGAAGGUCUUCGGAUUGUAAAGUUCUUUUCUAAGGGAAGAAGAAAGUGACGGUACCUUAGGAAUAAGCCUCGGCUAACUACGUGCCAGCAGCCGCGGUAAUACGGAGGAUGCGAGCGUUAUCCGGAUUUAUUGGGUUUAAAGGGUGCGUAGGUGGUCCGUUAAGUCAGCGGUAAAAUUGCGGGGCUCAACCCCGUCGAGCCGUUGAAACUGGCAGACUUGAGUUGGCGAGAAGUACGCGGAAUGCGCGGUGUAGCGGUGAAAUGCAUAGAUAUCGCGAAGAACUCCGAUUGCGAAGGCAGCGUACCGGCGCCAGACUGACGCUGAGGCACGAAAGCGUGGGGAUCGAACAGGAUUAGAUACCCUAGUAGUC